GAUGAACGCUGGCGGCGUGCCUAAUACAUGCAAGUCGAGCGAACAGACGAGAGUGCUUGCACUCUCUGACGUUAGCGGCGGACGGGUGAGUAACACGUGGGUAACCUACCUAUAAGACUGGGAUAACUUCGGGAAACCGGAGCUAAUACCGGAUAAUAUUUAGCUUCGCAUGAAGCAAUAGUGAAAGACGGUUCUGCUGUCACUUAUAGAUGGACCCGCGGUGUAUUAGCUAGUUGGUGAGGUAACGGCUCACCAAGGCAACGAUACAUAGCCGACCUGAGAGGGUGAACGGCCACACUGGGACUGCGACACGGCCCAGACUCCUACGGGAGGCAGCAGUAGGGAAUCUUUCGCACUGGAAGAAAGUCUGACGGAGCAAUGCCGCGUGAGUGCAGAAGGUUUUCGGAUCGUAAAACUCUGUUCUAAGGGAAGAACAAGUACGUUAGUAACUGAACGUACCUUGACGGUACCUUACCAGAAAGCCACGGCUAACUACGUG
RNAcentral lists this ribosomal RNA (499 nucleotides) under uncultured bacterium. RNAcentral's name for it is "partial 16S ribosomal RNA". It matches the Rfam family "Bacterial small subunit ribosomal RNA", at positions 28 to 507 of the family's 1533-position model. The record is from RNAcentral.